This 318-nucleotide long non-coding RNA is filed under the name Olea europaea (common olive). RNAcentral's name for it is "long non-coding RNA (OEUR_LNC012764)". The record is from RNAcentral. Lineage: Eukaryota; Viridiplantae; Streptophyta; Magnoliopsida; Lamiales; Oleaceae.
AAGAAUACAAUGAACAGAUAUGGUUCGUGACAGCAGUGAGGCAACUUGCAAAUUAUCAGAACCCCACAAAACAAGAAAACAGACUAAUUGCCAUUACCACACUUCAUAAACAGAACCAGAAAAUCCAUACAUAAAAAGUAACUACAUGAAAUAACAGAUACAUAAAAUAAUGGGUUUAGAGAGAGGAAGAGAGUACCUUCAGUGCUUUGAAGAAUUCAAAAGGUGGGGACUGAUUAUAAGCUUAAAAACUAGUACAUAAUUCCUCUGUAACUCAACGUUCAUCUGAUCCAACGGCAUUAUAUUUUGUAAUCUGGCCUC